UAUAUUUUCUAUUAAUUGUUGAUUACUAUCAAGUACAGAAUAACCAACACUUAAUGUAUAAAUGGAGAAAACUCACAAAGAUGUGCAUGGAGCUGGAAAAAUCUGAAUUCAAAUCUGAGUCCGAUAUCUCAAAUUUUCAAGAGAGAUCGGAGCUGCCCAUUAAACAUUUUCCUUCAAUUUUCCGGCUUGAUAAUAUAAUUCCUGCUGACCAGACUGUGAUGGAUUCAAACAAUGCUCGCUGCCAGUUACAGUGUGUCCAAGAAUAUGGUGGCUAAACUUUUAACUCAAACAAUAUAUUUAUGUACAGAGUAAUUCAAAUGGUUGGGAAAAGAUGAAAGAGUAUGUAAAAGGCUAUUAUACACAAAAGUUCUUAGUCCAUUUUUUGAAAUUGGGGCUUCGUUAAUAAGGUAAUUGUUUUUCUUUUGGUAGAUUGGAUAUUGAAAGAAAUUUCUGGUUUUACUAUUGAAGAUAAAAUUUCAACCUU
Molecule: long non-coding RNA, 484 nt
Filed under: Androctonus crassicauda
Lineage: Eukaryota; Metazoa; Arthropoda; Arachnida; Scorpiones; Buthidae
Source: RNAcentral